GAUGAACGCUGGCGGCGUGCCUAAUACAUGCAAGUCGAGCGAACAGACGAGGAGCUUGCUCCUCUGACGUUAGCGGCGGACGGGUGAGUAACACGUGGAUAACCUACCUAUAAGACUGAGAUAACUUCGGGAAACCGGAGCUAAUACCGGAUAAUAUAUUGAACCGCAUGGUUCAAUAGUGAAAGACGGUUUUGCUGUCACUUAUAGAUGGAUCCGCGCCGCAUUAGCUAGUUGGUAAGGUAACGGCUUACCAAGGCGACGAUGCGUAGCCGACCUGAGAGGGUGAUCGGCCACACUGGAACUGAGACACGGUCCAGACUCCUACGGGAGGCAGCAGUAGGGAAUCUUCCGCAAAGGGCGAAAGCCUGACGGAGCAACGCCGCGUGAGUGAUGAAGGUCUUCUGAUCGUAAAACUCUGUUAUUAGGGAAGAACAAAUGUGUAAGUAACUAUGCACGUCUUGACGGUACCUAAUCAGAAAGCCACGGCUAACUACGUG
This 497-nucleotide ribosomal RNA is filed under the name uncultured bacterium. RNAcentral's name for it is "partial 16S ribosomal RNA". It matches the Rfam family "Bacterial small subunit ribosomal RNA", at positions 28 to 507 of the family's 1533-position model. The record is from RNAcentral.